This 412-nucleotide unclassified non-coding RNA is filed under the name soil metagenome. RNAcentral describes it as "partial contains 5.8S ribosomal RNA, internal transcribed spacer 2, and large subunit ribosomal RNA". The stretch from base 1 to 122 matches the Rfam family "5.8S ribosomal RNA", at positions 35 to 154 of the family's 154-position model. The record is from RNAcentral.
GAUGAAGAACGUAGCGAAAUGCGAUACUUGGUGUGAAUUGCAGAAUCCCGUGAACCAUCGAGUCUUUGAACGCAAGUUGCGCCCGAAGCCGUCAGGCCGAGGGCACGCCUGCCUGGGCGUCACACGCCGUUGCCCCCCCGCGCCCCGCACCCAACUCUUUGGGAGCGACCGCGGGGCGGGCUGAUGAUGGCCUCCCGUGCGCUCCGCCGCGCGGUUGGCCCAAAUACCGAGUCCCCGGCGACGUGCGCCACGACGAUCGGUGAUUGAGAGACCUCUGUCGCAAGUCGUGCGCGCCCGUCGCGUCACGCGGGCUCGCAUAGCGCCUCGCGCCGCACCCGGUGCGGAGCUUUCAACGCGACCCCAGGUCAGGCGGGGUUACCCGCUGAAUUUAAGCAUAUCAAUAAGCGGAGGA